AAACCAACAGGGAUUGCCUCAGUAACGGCGAGUGAAGCGGCAAAAGCUCAAAUUUGAAAUCUAACACUUUCAGUGUUCGAGUUGUAAUUUGAAGAAAGUUUCUCUGAGUAGUCCUUUAUCUAUGUUCCUUGGAACAGGACGUCAUAGAGGGUGAGAAUCCCGUAUGAUUUUGGAUACUAUUCUUUGUGAGAUUCUUUCGAAGAGUCGAGUUGUUUGGGAAUGCAGCUCUAAGUGGGUGGUAAAUUACAUCUAAAGCUAAAUAUUGGCGAGAGACCGAUAGCGAACAAGUACAGUGAUGGAAAGAUGAAAAGAACUCUGAAGAGAGAGUGAAAAAGUACGUGAAAUUGCUGAAAGGGAAGGGCUUUAGGUCAGACUUGGUGUUUAAAUGAUUAUCUUCUCUUUUUGAGUUGUGCACUCGUUUUUCACUGGGCCAAUAUCAGUUUUUGUGGUAGAGCACCUAUUGGAAUGUAGCUUUUCUUCGGAUGAGUGUUAUAGCCUUUAGACGAUCUU
This 510-nucleotide ribosomal RNA is filed under the name uncultured Candida. RNAcentral describes it as "eukaryotic LSU rRNA". It matches the Rfam family "Eukaryotic large subunit ribosomal RNA", at positions 62 to 576 of the family's 3401-position model. Lineage: Eukaryota; Fungi; Ascomycota; Saccharomycetes; Saccharomycetales. The record is from RNAcentral.